CGAACGGGGUAGCAAUACCCAGUGGCGCACGGGUGAGUAACGCGUGGGAACGUGCCCUUUGGUACGGAAUAACGUCGGGAAACUGGCGCUAAUACCGUAUACGCCCUCCGGGGGAAAGAUUUAUCGCCAAAGGAUCGGCCCGCGUCAGAUUAGCUAGUUGGUGGGGUAAUGGCCUACCAAGGCUCCGAUCUGUAGCUGUUCUGAGAGGAAGAUCAGCCACACUGGAACUGAGACACGGUCCAGACUCCUACGGGAGGCAGCAGUGGGGAAUAUUGGACAAUGGGGGAAACCCUGAUCCAGCCAUGCCGCGUGAGUGAUGAAGGCCUUAGGGUUGUAAAGCUCUUUUACCAGGGAAGAUGAUGACGGUACCUGGAGAAUAAGCACCGGCUAACUUCGUGCCAGCAGCCGCGGUAAUACGAAGGGUGCUAGCGUUGUUCGGAAUCACUGGGCGUAAAGCGCGCGUAGGCGGCUUUUCAAGUCAGGGGUGAAAUGCCAAGGCUUAACCUUGGAACUGCCUUUGAAACUGUAAAGCUGGAGUGUCGGAGGGGAUGGCGGAAUUCCUAAUGUAGUGGUGAAAUACGUAGAUAUUAGGAGGAACACCGGUGGCGAAGGCGGCCAUCUGGACGACAACUGACGCUGAGGCGCGAAAGCGUGGGGAUCAAACAGGAUUAGAUACCCUGGUAGUCCACGCUGUAAAC
RNAcentral lists this ribosomal RNA (698 nucleotides) under uncultured bacterium. RNAcentral describes it as "bacterial SSU rRNA". It matches the Rfam family "Bacterial small subunit ribosomal RNA", at positions 63 to 807 of the family's 1533-position model. The record is from RNAcentral.